GAUGGACGCUAGCUACAGGCUUAACACAUGCAGGUCGAGGGGUAACGAGAGGAAAGCUUGCUUUCCUUGUCGACGACCGGCGCACGGGUGAGUAACGCGUAUCCAACCUGCCCCCAACUAGGGAAUAACCUUGCGAAAGUAAGACUAAUACCCUAUAAUUUCCUCAGAUGUCAUCUGACGAGGAAUAAAGAUUUAUCGGUUGUGGAUGGGGAUGCGUCUGAUUAGCUUGUUGGCGGGGUAACGGCCCACCAAGGCAACGAUCAGUAGGGGUUCUGAGAGGAAGGUCCCCCACAUUGGAACUGAGACACGGUCCAAACGCCUACGGGGAGCAGCAGUGAGGAAUAUUGGUCAAUGGGCGGAAGCUUGAACCAGCCAAGUAGCGUGCAGGAUGACGGCCCUAUGGGUUGUAAACUGCUUUUAUACAGGAAUAAAGUUAGCCACGUGUGGUUAUUUGUAGGUACUGUAUGAAUAAGGACCGGCUAAUUCCGUGCCAGCCGCCGCCGUAA
RNAcentral lists this ribosomal RNA (506 nucleotides) under uncultured bacterium. RNAcentral describes it as "partial 16S ribosomal RNA". It matches the Rfam family "Bacterial small subunit ribosomal RNA", at positions 28 to 523 of the family's 1533-position model. The record is from RNAcentral.